Molecule: long non-coding RNA, 526 nt
Organism: Drosophila pseudoobscura
Lineage: Eukaryota; Metazoa; Arthropoda; Insecta; Diptera; Drosophilidae
Exons: 2
Source: RefSeq, a predicted model, not a curated record
UUGCAUACAAGCGAUUAGUCAUACACUUGAUAUUUUUAAUAUUUCUCUCUACAACGAGUGUUCUUUUUCGGGCCAUGAUAUCACAUUACCCAUGGGCCAUGGCUGCUCAAUUCCUCUUUGGUUACUUCAUUGACAGAAAAUUAACAUAACUAUUGAUCCUAUGACAUAUCCUUUCGACUAAGAUAUGUAUUGUCAUUAGUGCACGAAUGUUGGAAAAAUGAAACGAAACCGAUGCCUGAUGCCUGAUGUCGAUGCAGACACACACACACACACACAUACUAUUGAGUAGCUGUUGAAGCAUGUGAGCAGGCGAGGGGACGGGGGGAAGACAAGCUGUUGGGUCUGGAGUGCGGUAAUGAAGUAACCAAAGUCCCCAGCAUACCUCAGCCACGUCCGCAUCCAACAUCUCCCCGGCAUCAUCAUCGAUCGUGUAAUGGCUGCGUUAAGUAGUUGAUGUCUGAGGUGGUUUGCCUCUUGUAAAUUUAAAUGAAGCAGCCAUCCGUCUCUAGCUCCAUCUCAACCUCAA